Molecule: unclassified non-coding RNA, 270 nt
Filed under: Hevea brasiliensis (rubber tree)
Lineage: Eukaryota; Viridiplantae; Streptophyta; Magnoliopsida; Malpighiales; Euphorbiaceae
Source: RNAcentral
GAGACUAUCUCCUCUCAAUUCAGAUCUACCAAAGGUUUGCAAGAAAGGUACAAGUUAUAAUUCCAAUGAAAAUUUAGAGAUGCCGAGAAAUAAUGAUAUAAUCAAAUGGUAUGCCGAGAAAGAACGGUAUAAUCAAAUGGUCCUCCUCACAUUCCUUUUGCAUGAGCAGUAAAUGGAGAUCCAGAUGGAGGGCAUCAAAGAAAAAAGGGAAGCACCGGUUCAGUGGAAACCGAAAUGAUAGAUGUGUAUGUUAUCUUAAGGCAACACUUU